RNAcentral lists this long non-coding RNA (348 nucleotides) under Oryza brachyantha (malo sina). RNAcentral's name for it is "long non-coding RNA (OBRA_LNC003231)". The record is from RNAcentral. Lineage: Eukaryota; Viridiplantae; Streptophyta; Magnoliopsida; Poales; Poaceae.
CAUCAGGAGUUGUCAUUCCACACAUAAAUCCAUUAUCACUGCUGUUCCUGAAGAGGGCUCGUUGCGAUCACUCUGAGCACUCAAGUCAUUCUCCUAGCUUUCUUCACUAGCUGAUUCCCUUGGAAACCAAACUUGUGCAUAUAUAAUAGUCUUAAGAUAAUUCCAUUCAACCUGACUACUGUUGUAGUUACUCAUCUAGUUUCCAGUGUUGUAGUUUUCGUAGCUUCAGAUAAAGUAGAUUACGUGAUUAUACAGACAUUAGCAGCAAAUUGUCUUUCUGACGCUGCUGUCGACAAAACCAAGUUUAGCCUAAUCUUCUUCCUCCGGUUGCUGGUUGAUCACCAUGGC